Molecule: long non-coding RNA, 354 nt
Filed under: Malus domestica (apple)
Lineage: Eukaryota; Viridiplantae; Streptophyta; Magnoliopsida; Rosales; Rosaceae
Description: long non-coding RNA (MDOM_LNC019845)
Source: RNAcentral
UAAUUUAAGCGUAUCUAAUUAACUUGGGGUGUUGAGUUUCAUAAUUUAUUGAAAGAACAACUGAAAAUUAUUUUGUUUGCAAGUGUGUCAUGUGUGGAGAAGAACCUUUAACUAGCCUUUUAUCCAUCCUUUUCAACCAAAAAUGUUUUACAAUCUGUUUUGUUUUAAAGUUUCUGUUUUGUUUUCAAUUUUCGUCCAAAACAAAUCCCCCUUUAUUUUGAAGUCUUAGAUUAGUUAGAAAGUGUUUUGAUUUGUGUUUCUAAGUGUUUUGAUUCAAGUUUUCAUCCAACUUCGUCCCAGUUCUUGCUAGGUUCUCAAAACUGCCCAGAAAGUGGUUUUUAGGCAGUUUUGAGU